Molecule: ribosomal RNA, 1364 nt
Filed under: metagenome
Description: bacterial LSU rRNA
Rfam family: Bacterial large subunit ribosomal RNA
Source: RNAcentral
UUCAGGCAAAUCCGUGUGGCAAUACGAAGACGUGACGCGGACCGAAAUAAAGUAGGGAAGCAUGUGAGCCAUGUGCCAAGAAAAGCCGCUAUAGAUCAUACCGUACCCGUACCGUAAACCGACACAGGUAGAUGAGGAGAGAAUCCUAAGGCCGACGGGAGAAGCAUUGUUAAGGAACUCGGCAAAAUGACCCCGUAACUUCGGGAGAAGGGGUGCCCACGCGAGUGGGCCGCAGAGAAUAGGCUCAAGCAACUGUUUAGCAAAAACACAGGUCUAUGCGAAACCGAAAGGUGAGGUAUAUGGGCUGACGCCUGCCCGGUGCUGGAAGGUUAAGAGGAGGAGUCAGGCAACGAAGCUCCGAAUUUAAGCCCCAGUAAACGGCGGCCGUAACAAUAACGGUCCUAAGGUAGCGAAAUUCCUUGUCGGGUAAGUUCCGACCCGCACGAAAGGCGUAAUGAUUUGAGCACUGUCUCGACAAUGCACCCGGUGAAAUUGAAGUACCAGUGAAGAUGCUGGUUACCUGCGCCAGGACGGAAAGACCCCAUGGAGCUUUACUCCAGUUUGAUACUGGGAUUCGAUACUGAAUGUACAGGAUAGGUGGGAGGCUGAGAAGCGUGGACGCCAGUCUGCGGUGAGCCGCUGUUGGGAUACCACCCUUUGAGUAUUGGAUUUCUAACCUGCGCCCGUGACCCGGGCGGGGGACAAUGUCUGACGGGGAGUUUGACUGGGGCGGUCGCCUCCGAAAGGGUAUCGGAGGCGCUCAAAGGUUCCCUCAGAAUGGUUGGAAACCAUUCGCAGAGUGCAAAGGCAGAAGGGAGCUUGACUGUGACACCGACGGGUGGAGCAGGUACGAAAGUAGGACUUAGUGAUCCGGUGGUAUGAAAGUGGGAUUGCCAUCGCUCAACGGAUAAAAGCUACCCUGGGAUAACAGGCUUAUCACUCCCAAGAGUUCACAUCGACGGAGUGGUUUGGCACCUCGAUGCCGGCUCAUCGCAUCCUGGGGCUGUAGCAGGUCCCAAGGGUUGGGCUGUUCGCCCAUUAAAGCGGUACGCGGGCUGGGUUCAGAACGUCGUGAGACAGUUCGGUCCCUAUCCGGCGCAGGCGUAGGAUAUUUGAGAGGAGCUGUCCUUAGUACGAGAGGACCGGGAUGGACAGACCGCUGGUGUAUCUGUUGGUGACCAACACCAUGGCAGAGUAGCCAAGUCUGGCAGGGAUAAACGCUGAAGGCAUCUAAGCGUGAAGCCCCCCUCAAGAUGAGAUAUCCCAAUAAGUAAGACCCCUUAGAGAGUAUGAGGUAGAUAGGCUUAAGGUGUAAGCAUAGUAAUAUGUUCAGCUGAUAAGUACUAAUAGGUCGAGGGCUUAUC